This 301-nucleotide ribosomal RNA is filed under the name uncultured bacterium. Its description in RNAcentral is "partial 16S ribosomal RNA". It matches the Rfam family "Bacterial small subunit ribosomal RNA", at positions 509 to 809 of the family's 1533-position model. The record is from RNAcentral.
CAGCAGCCGCGGGAAUACCGAGGGUGCAAGCGUUAAUCGGAAUUACUGGGCGUAAAGCGCGCGUAGGUGGUUUGUUAAGUUGGAUGUGAAAUCCCCGGGCUCAACCUGGGAACUGCAUCCAAAACUGGCAAGCUAGAGUAUGGUAGAGGGUGGUGGAAUUUCCUGUGUAGCGGUGAAAUGCGUAGAUAUAGGAAGGAACACCAGUGGCGAAGGCGACCACCUGGACUGAUACUGACACUGAGGUGCGAAAGCGUGGGGAGCAAACAGGAUUAGAUACCCCUGUAGUCCCUGUCUCUUAUAA